UCUCACCCCCCAGGUGCUCCCAAUCAGCUUAAUUAACACUUGUCCGCUAUAAAUACGGCAUUGGGAGGACACAUGAAGGUCCCGCUUCGCGGACGAACGCCGCACCACGGGAAGAGGACUAGAGGUGGACGCAUUGUUAUUCUUUUUUAGAUCCAUUUUUAUUACUGUUUUUUAACUUUUUAGAGACACUUUGAGGGGUGUCCCAGCAGGGCCUUGGUAGGCUCAACCCCUCGGAGGCCUGCUCAGAGUGCAUACCGAACCAUGGAGCAGUGUCCUCCCAGGGGUGAGAUGGACGCCACGCCACCCUGCCCUAGCUGGGACCUAGGCAACCCUC
Corythoichthys intestinalis (scribbled pipefish) is the source of this 334-nucleotide long non-coding RNA. RefSeq lists it as uncharacterized. The record is from RefSeq and is a predicted model, not a curated record. The transcript is spliced from 2 exons. NCBI's taxonomy places the organism in Eukaryota, Metazoa, Chordata, Actinopteri, Syngnathiformes, Syngnathidae.